GACGAACGCUGGCGGCGUGCUUAACACAUGCAAGUCGAACGGAAAGGCCCUGCUUUUGUGGGGUGCUCGAGUGGCGAACGGGUGAGUAACACGUGAGUAACCUGCCCUUGACUUUGGGAUAACUUCAGGAAACUUGGGCUAAUACCGGAUAGGAGCUCCUGCUGCAUGGUGGGGGUUGGAAAGUUUCGGCGGUUGGGGAUGGACUCGCGGCUUAUCAGCUUGUUGGUGGGGUAGUGGCUUACCAAGGCUUUGACGGGUAGCCGGCCUGAGAGGGUGACCGGCCACAUUGGGACUGAGAUACGGCCCAGACUCCUACGGGAGGCAGCAGUGGGGAAUAUUGCACAAUGGGCGGAAGCCUGAUGCAGCAACGCAGCGUGCGGGAUGACGGCCUUCGGGUUGUAAACCGCUUUCGCCUGUGACGAAGCGUGAGUGACGGUAAUGGGUAAAGAAGCACCGGCUAACUACGUG
This 468-nucleotide ribosomal RNA is filed under the name uncultured bacterium. Its description in RNAcentral is "partial 16S ribosomal RNA". It matches the Rfam family "Bacterial small subunit ribosomal RNA", at positions 28 to 507 of the family's 1533-position model. The record is from RNAcentral.